This 253-nucleotide ribosomal RNA is filed under the name uncultured bacterium. Its description in RNAcentral is "partial 16S ribosomal RNA". It matches the Rfam family "Bacterial small subunit ribosomal RNA", at positions 524 to 776 of the family's 1533-position model. The record is from RNAcentral.
UACAGAGGGUGCAAACGUUGCUCGGAAUUACUGGGCGUAAAGGGCGCGUAGGCGGCUCGCUAAGUCGGGUGUGAAAACUCUGGGCUCAACCCAGAGCCUGCAUUCGAAACUGACGGGCUAGAGUUCUGGAGGGGAAAGCGGAAUUCCUGGUGUAGCAGUGAAAUGCGUAGAUAUCAGGAGGAACACCGGUGGCGAAGGCGGCUUUCUGGACAGAAACUGACGCUGAUGCGCGAAAGCUAGGGGAGCAAACAGG